GUUGGUCUGCCUAGUGCUUGAUCAGCUGUGAGUGAGAUCCUGAGAAAGGCUCCCGGUGACUGAGCUCAAGGAUGGAGCCCCUGGUAAGUAGUGAUGCUUCCUCCUGAAGCUGCACCCAGUCCCCAUCCUUCCUCAGCUCAGCUGCCCACUCUGGACAGCGAUAGGGCUGCUCUGUCUAAACCAGAACAUCCAUAGUUUUUUAGGACUUGGUGACAUUAAAGAUGUAGCAGUCAACUUCACCCAGAAGAGUGGAGCCUGCUAGACAAGUCCCAGAAAAACCUGUUCAGAAAUGUGAUGCUGGAAACUGUCACCCACCUGGUCUCUGUAGGCUAUCAAAUUAGCAAAUCAGAUGUGAUUUCAUAGCUGGAACAAGGAACAGAGCUGUGGACUGAAGCAGCAGGAGGCCUCCAAGGUCAGAGUCCAGGCAGUGAACAAUCCCUUAAACAACAAGAAAUGAUAUUCAUGCAAAGUAUCUACAGAAAGCACAUAUCCUCUACUAUGUCAGUAGUUUCUCACCAGCAAGGGGAUCCUGCUGGAUGCACUAAUUCGAGAGAUGAAUUAGCUUCUAGAUCUUCACCUCAACAGUCAUCAAUUCACUUAAGAACGAAACAUGUCAGCAAACAGUGUGGAAAAUCAUGUAGUCAAGGAUCAUUUCUUAAUGCACAGGGUCCUAUUCACACUAGAGGAAAAUCAUGUGAAUGUCUUCUAUGUAAAAAAGUCUUUAAUAAUUACUUUAGCCUCAGAUGACACAGGAUGAUUCACACAGGAGAGAAACCAAACAAAUGCAGUCUGUGUGGAAAUGGCUAUUUUCUGAGAAACCACAAUCAGGUCCACACUGGAGAGAAACGAUUUGAAUGUCAUGUGUGUGGGAAACUCUUCAAAGUUCCUACCUGGAACAUGAGAAAACACACAGGAGAGAAGCCCUAUAAAUGUCACCUGUGUGAGAAAAGUUUUCAUCAAAUCUCUUACCUUAGAAAACACGAGAAA
This 987-nucleotide long non-coding RNA is filed under the name Bos indicus x Bos taurus (hybrid cattle). Its description in RNAcentral is "lncRNA (ENSBIXG00005002753.1)". The record is from RNAcentral. Lineage: Eukaryota; Metazoa; Chordata; Mammalia; Artiodactyla; Bovidae.